Molecule: ribosomal RNA, 497 nt
Filed under: uncultured bacterium
Lineage: Bacteria
Description: partial 16S ribosomal RNA
Rfam family: Bacterial small subunit ribosomal RNA
Source: RNAcentral
GAUGAACGCUGGCGGCGUGCCUAAUACAUGCAAGUCGAGCGAACAGACGAGGAGCUUGCUCCUCUGACGUUAGCGGCGGACGGGUGAGUAACACGUGGAUAACCUGCCUAUAAGACUGGGAUAACUUCGGGAAACCGGAGCUAAUACCGGAUAAUAUAUUGAACCGCAUGGUUCAAUAGUGAAAGACGGUUUUGCUGUCACUUAUAGAUGGAUCCGCGCCGCAUUAGCUAGUUGGUAAGGUAACGGCUUACCAAGGCAACGAUGCGUAGCCGACCUGAGAGGGUGAUCGGCCACACUGGAACUGAGACACGGUCCAGACUCCUACGGGAGGCAGCAGUAGGGAAUCUUCCGCAAUGGGCGAAAGCCUGACGGAGCAACGCCGCGUGAGUGAUGAAGGUCUUCGGAUCGUAAAACUCUGUUAUUAGGGAAGAACAAAUGCGUAAGUAACUAUGCACGUCUUGACGGUACCUAAUCAGAAAGCCACGGCUAACUACGUG